GUGCCAGCAGCCGCGGUAAGACGAACCGUGCGAACGUUGUUCGGAUUCACUGGGCUUAAAGGGCGCGUAGGCGGGCACCAAAGUCCGGGGUGAAAUCCCGCGGCCCAACCGCGGGACUGCCUGGGAUACUGGGUGCCUCGAGGGAGGUAGGGGCGUGCGGAACUUCCGGUGGAGCGGUGAAAUGCGUAGAUAUCGGAAGGAACGCCGGUGGCGAAAGCGGCGCGCUGGACCUCUUCUGACGCUGAGGCGCGAAAGCCAGGGGAGCGAACGGGAUUAGAUACCCCGGUAGUCCUGGCCCUAAACGAUGGGCACCGGGUAGCGGGCCGGCAUGGGCUCGCUGCCGCAGCGAAAGUGCUAAGUGCCCCGCCUGGGGAGUAUGGUCGCAAGGCUGAA
This 393-nucleotide ribosomal RNA is filed under the name uncultured bacterium. Its description in RNAcentral is "bacterial SSU rRNA". It matches the Rfam family "Bacterial small subunit ribosomal RNA", at positions 505 to 898 of the family's 1533-position model. The record is from RNAcentral.